This 430-nucleotide unclassified non-coding RNA is filed under the name Hevea brasiliensis (rubber tree). Lineage: Eukaryota; Viridiplantae; Streptophyta; Magnoliopsida; Malpighiales; Euphorbiaceae. The record is from RNAcentral.
GAAUAAAGUGUUUUUUUUUUUUAUAAUGAGAGUAGAGUCAAUUAUAUUAAAUGCAUAGGGUUUAUAAGGCUAAAAACGGUGUAGCAUUGAAUGGAAGUGAAAUUAGUUCGGUUCGGAUAAUUCGAUUUAUAUAUUAAAUUAACCGAACCAAAUCAAAUAAUCGAAAAUUUUAAAAAUCACUAAUUGAAACUGAAUCGAUUUGCUGAAUAACCAAAUAAAAAAAAACAAAUUAAAAUGAUUUUGUUAAGUUUUUCGGUUUAAACCGUUUAUUGCUCACUCUUACCGUUAACAAUUUAUUCUUAAAGUAUCAACGAUCAUUAAAGUUCCUGUCCUUAAUUAUAACAAAAUAAAAUAUGUAUCUUCAAUGUUAAAAAUGUCAAAAUACGAGAUACUAAAUUGUUUUUCCCAUAAUAAUAAUAAUAAUAACAAU